CUACAUAUGUAGAUGAGAUAUAUACUCAAGUCAUGGGUCUAGAGAGGCAUGGUCGUGUUCGAGGGUAUGGAUUUGGUCCUACUCCUACCUCAGUCUUUGGUUCUACUAGUAGAAGGCGAUCAGGAGUUAUUCUUUCAACACAACUUGAAAACACCCAAGAGAUGCUAAUAGCUGCAGAACAAAAGUUUACAACUGCAACUGAAGAACUCUCAAAUGUGAAAGAUGAACUCUCACAUGUGAAAGAAACAUUUGAAGAGAAGUUGAUAGAAGUUCAAAGGAAGACACGAGAAGAAGUGAAAGAAGAGUUUGAAGAAAAAAUGAUGGAAAUGCAAAGAAAAAUGCAAGCACAAAUGCAAGCACAAAUUCAAGAACAGAUGAUGCAAAUGAUGCAAUAAUUUCAGCAAAAGCAGUAGAAAUUUGAAGAUUUUGCUACAUCUUUA
RNAcentral lists this long non-coding RNA (440 nucleotides) under Vitis vinifera (wine grape). RNAcentral describes it as "long non-coding RNA (VVIN_LNC004634)". The record is from RNAcentral. Lineage: Eukaryota; Viridiplantae; Streptophyta; Magnoliopsida; Vitales; Vitaceae.